This is a long non-coding RNA of Zophobas morio, 583 nucleotides long. RefSeq lists it as uncharacterized. The record is from RefSeq and is a predicted model, not a curated record. The transcript has 2 exons. NCBI's taxonomy places the organism in Eukaryota, Metazoa, Arthropoda, Insecta, Coleoptera, Tenebrionidae.
UUAUUAUUGUUGCUUAUCUCGAAAUAUGCAGCCACUUAAUUACAAAAGUGAUAACCUAGUGAUUAAAAAUAUAUAUGCAAUAAUUAGUUAUUAGUCCAGUGGUGAUAGUACACGCCUGACUUCAGAACACUCCAGCCAUGAAGAAUUUUAUCCCUUAUUCUUUGCCUUUUUCACUUUUGUGUCUUCUAUUCUUACAAUCGAUGGUCAUCGGCAGUGUAACUCGUGACACAGGAUGUUACCUUGACAGCGUUGGGCAUUUUAAGACAGGAGAACAAAAAUCUAUUCCUGGACAAUGUGUGAUUCUGGUGGUAGUUUUUCAGUUGUAAUAUGUCCUGAAAUUCAGAUAGAUACAUCAGGCUGCCACCUAGGUAAAACGGAUUUUUCAAAACCUUACCCGGAGUGUUGUCCCAAAGUAAUUUGUACUAAAUCAUAAAUUAGUAAAACACAAAAUGAUUUUUUAAAGGAACACUUAUUUGUAGAUACAUAUUUUGUUUAAAAUGUUAAAAAUAUUGUCACAGCAAUUAUAAAUUCUGUAUUCUUUAUAACAUGGGUAAAAGUGUUUAUAAAUUUCAUACGAAGUUAA